UACAAUAGUUGGUUUGUUAGAUAACCAAAGCGAGCAAGAUCAGCGGUGCAACAUAAGUCCAACCAAACACUCACAAAGAACCUAUACAGUUCUGCUAAAGCUUGUUCACAUGCCAUGUCAUAUGAACCUGCUAUGAUCAUAUUGUUUAGAAGAUGGAAUCACAGGAAACAUUUGCAUGUAUGAUGACAACCUAGUAACCAACCUUGUCAAAGGAAACAUUUGCAUGUAUGAUGACAACCUAGUAACCAACCUUGACAAAGCAGGUAGAUAGCAAGCAACAGUUUGCCCCUUUUAGCCUUGAACGCAAGGACACAUAUCUGACGUUCUCCAAUCCAUGAUGUCUUCACAAAGUCUGACUAAUUAGUUGUUAUCCCUUCAUAGGUUGGACAUGCUCCUUGGCGCACCCAC
This 408-nucleotide long non-coding RNA is filed under the name Triticum aestivum (bread wheat). RNAcentral's name for it is "long non-coding RNA (TAES_LNC019500)". The record is from RNAcentral. Lineage: Eukaryota; Viridiplantae; Streptophyta; Magnoliopsida; Poales; Poaceae.